AAUUCCGCGAAUCAUCGAGUCUUUGAACGCAAGUUGCGCCCGAGGCUUGUCCGAGGGCAUUUCCGCUAGAGCGUCACC
This 78-nucleotide ribosomal RNA is filed under the name Plagiomnium ellipticum. RNAcentral describes it as "partial 5.8S ribosomal RNA". It matches the Rfam family "5.8S ribosomal RNA", at positions 78 to 154 of the family's 154-position model. From Rfam's summary of the family: 5.8S ribosomal RNA (5.8S rRNA) is a component of the large subunit of the eukaryotic ribosome. It is transcribed by RNA polymerase I as part of the 45S precursor that also contains 18S and 28S rRNA. Functionally, it is thought that 5.8S rRNA may be involved in ribosome translocation. RNAcentral also lists the same sequence under 1 other name. The record is from RNAcentral. Lineage: Eukaryota; Viridiplantae; Streptophyta; Bryopsida; Bryales; Mniaceae.